Molecule: ribosomal RNA, 507 nt
Filed under: uncultured bacterium
Lineage: Bacteria
Description: bacterial SSU rRNA
Rfam family: Bacterial small subunit ribosomal RNA
Source: RNAcentral
GACGAACGCUGGCGGCGUGCCUAACACAUGCAAGUCGAGCGGAGAUAAGCGGAAGGUAACUGAAGCUUAUCUUAGCGGCGGACGGGUGAGUAACACGUGGGCAACCUGCCUUGAAGUGGGGGAUAACACCGGGAAAUCGGUGCUAAUACCGCAUAACAUACACAAACUGCAUGGUGAGUGUAUCAAAGGAGCAAUCCGCUUUAAGAUGGGCCCGCGGCUGAUUAGCUAGUUGGUAAGGUAACGGCUUACCAAGGCGACGAUCAGUAGCCGACCUGAGAGGGUGACCGGCCACACUGGAACUGAGACACGGUCCAGACUCCUACGGGAGGCAGCAGCUAAGAAUAUUCCGCAAUGGACGAAAGUCUGACGGAGCGACGCCGCGUGGAUGAAGAAGGCCGAAAGGUUGUAAAAUUCUUUUGUCGGGGAAGAAUAAGCGUGGGAGGGAAUGCCCGCGUGAUGACAUGAACCGGCGAAUAAGCCCCGGCUAACUACGUGCCAGCAGCCGAC